GACGAACGCUGGCGGCGUGCUUAACAUAUGCAAGUCGAACGGAAAGGCCCUGCUUGCCGGGUACUCGAGUGGCGAACGGGUAAGUAACACGUGGGUGACCUGCCCUGCACUUCGGGAUAAGCUUGGGAAACUGGGUCUAAUCCCGGAUAGGAGCCAUCUUUAGUGUGGUGGUUGGAAAGUUUUUUCGGUGUAGGAUGAGCUCGCGGCCUAUCAGCUUGUUGGUGGGGUAAUGGCCUACCAAGGCGGCGACGGGUAGCCGGCCUGAGAGGGUGUACGGCCACAUUGGGACUGAGAUACGGCCCAGACUCCUACGGGAGGCAGCAGUGGGGAAUAUUGCACAAUGGGCGCAAGCCUGAUGCAGCGACGCCGCGUGGGGGAUGAAGGCCUUCGGGUUGUAAACUCCUUUCGCUAGGGACGAAGCUUUGUUGUGACGGUACCUAGAUAAGAAGCACCGGCUAACUACGUG
This 466-nucleotide ribosomal RNA is filed under the name uncultured bacterium. RNAcentral describes it as "partial 16S ribosomal RNA". It matches the Rfam family "Bacterial small subunit ribosomal RNA", at positions 28 to 507 of the family's 1533-position model. The record is from RNAcentral.